AACUUUCAAUAAUAGAUCUCUUGGUUCUAGUAUUAAUAAAGAAUAUAGUGAAAUAUAAAAAGUAAUAUAAAUUGUAGAAUUUAGUAAAUUAUCAAAUCUUUAAAUAUAUAUUAUACCUACUAGUAUUCUAGUAGGUAUAUUUAUUCGAGUAUUA
RNAcentral lists this ribosomal RNA (154 nucleotides) under Colletotrichum orbiculare MAFF 240422. RNAcentral's name for it is "5.8S ribosomal RNA". It matches the Rfam family "5.8S ribosomal RNA". Rfam says of the family: 5.8S ribosomal RNA (5.8S rRNA) is a component of the large subunit of the eukaryotic ribosome. Lineage: Eukaryota; Fungi; Ascomycota; Sordariomycetes; Glomerellales; Glomerellaceae. The record is from Rfam by way of RNAcentral.